UACGGGGGGAGCAAGCGUUGUUCGGAUUUACUGGGCGUAAAGGGCGCGUAGGCGGCCACCGCAAGUCAGUUGUGAAAUCUCUGGGCUUAACCCAGAACGGUCAGCUGAUACUGCGGGGCUAGAGUGCAGAAGGGGCAACUGGAAUUCUCGGUGUAGCGGUGAAAUGCGUAGAUAUCGAGAGGAACACCUGCGGCGAAGGCGGGUCGCUGGGCUGACACUGACGCUGACAGCGCGAAAGCUAGGGGAGCGAACGGG
Molecule: ribosomal RNA, 255 nt
Filed under: uncultured bacterium
Lineage: Bacteria
Description: partial 16S ribosomal RNA
Rfam family: Bacterial small subunit ribosomal RNA
Source: RNAcentral